This 133-nucleotide ribosomal RNA is filed under the name uncultured bacterium. Its description in RNAcentral is "partial 16S ribosomal RNA". The record is from RNAcentral.
GGAGUUAGCCGGGGCUUCCUCCCGGGUACCGUCACUUGCUUCGUCCCGGGGACAGGAGUUUACGACUCGAAAGCCUUCUUCCUCCACGCGGCGUUGCUGCGUCAGGGUUGCCCCCAUUGCGCAAAAUUCCCCA